UACCCUUGACAUGUGCGGAAUCCUGCAGAAAUGCAGGAGUGCCCGAAAGGGAACCGCAACACAGGUGCUGCAUGGCUGUCGUCAGCUCGUGUCGUGAGAUGUUGGGUUAAGUCCCGCAACGAGCGCAACCCUUGUCAUUAGUUGCUACAUUCAGUUGAGCACUCUAAUGAGACUGCCGGUGACAAACCGGAGGAAGGUGGGGAUGACGUCUCGGCAUUAGCCA
This 223-nucleotide unclassified non-coding RNA is filed under the name uncultured Gammaproteobacteria bacterium. Its description in RNAcentral is "contains 16S-23S intergenic spacer region". It matches the Rfam family "Bacterial small subunit ribosomal RNA", at positions 980 to 1201 of the family's 1533-position model. The record is from RNAcentral. Lineage: Bacteria; Pseudomonadati; Pseudomonadota; Gammaproteobacteria.